RNAcentral lists this ribosomal RNA (408 nucleotides) under Verrucomicrobiota bacterium. RNAcentral's name for it is "Verrucomicrobia bacterium partial 16S ribosomal RNA". It matches the Rfam family "Bacterial small subunit ribosomal RNA", at positions 355 to 777 of the family's 1533-position model. Lineage: Bacteria; Pseudomonadati; Verrucomicrobiota. The record is from RNAcentral.
UGGGGAAUAUUGGACAAUGGAGGCAACUCUGAUCCAGCAAUUCUGUGUGUGUGAAGAAGGUUUUAGGACUGUAAAACACUUUUAGUAGGGAAGAAAGAAAUGACGGUACCUACAGAAGAAGCGACGGCUAAAUACGUGCCGGCAGCCGCGGUAAUACGUAUGUCGCGAGCGUUAUCCGGAAUUAUUGGGCUUAAAGGGCAUCUAGGCGGUUAAACAAGUUGAAGGUGAAAACCUGUGGCUCAACCAUAGGCGUGCCUACAAAACUGUAUAACUAGAGUACUGGAAAGGUGGGUAGAACUACACGAGUAGAGGUGAAAUUCGUAGAUAUGUGUAGGAAUGCCGAUGAUGAAGAUAACUCACUGGACAGCAACUGACGCUGAAGUGCGAAAGCUAGGGGAGCAAACAGGA